RNAcentral lists this transfer RNA (73 nucleotides) under Paleosuchus palpebrosus (Cuvier's dwarf caiman). RNAcentral describes it as "tRNA-Trp". The record is from RNAcentral. Lineage: Eukaryota; Metazoa; Chordata; Crocodylia; Alligatoridae.
AAGAAAUUAGGUUCAAACUUUAAACCGGGGGCCUUCAAAGCCCUAAAUGGGAAAAUCAACCUCCCAUUUCUUG